This is a non-coding RNA of Patella vulgata (common limpet), 72 nucleotides long. The record is from the annotation of a RefSeq genome assembly. Lineage: Eukaryota; Metazoa; Mollusca; Gastropoda; Patellidae.
GCCUCAGUGGCCAAGUGGUAAGGCAUCGGUCUCGUAAACCGGGGAUCCAGGGUUCAAACCCCUGCUGGGGCU